AGGGAAUGAAGAACAUCUAAAAGAAGCUGCUAACUAUCUUUUAAAGCGGUUAAACUCCGUUUAUCCCUUA
RNAcentral lists this transfer RNA (70 nucleotides) under Macroscytus subaeneus. RNAcentral's name for it is "tRNA-Ser". The record is from RNAcentral. Lineage: Eukaryota; Metazoa; Arthropoda; Insecta; Hemiptera; Cydnidae.